Molecule: ribosomal RNA, 497 nt
Filed under: uncultured bacterium
Lineage: Bacteria
Description: partial 16S ribosomal RNA
Rfam family: Bacterial small subunit ribosomal RNA
Source: RNAcentral
GAUGAACGCUGGCGGCGUGCCUAAUACAUGCAAGUCGAGCGAACAGACGAGGAGCUUGCUCCUCUGACGUUAGCGGCGGACGGGUGAGUAACACGUGGAUAACCUACCUAUAAGACUGGGAUAACUUCGGGAAACCGGAGCUAAUACCGGAUAAUAUAUUGAACCGCAUGGUUCAAUAGUGAAAGACGGUUUUGCUGUCACUUAUAGAUGGAUCCGCGCCGCAUUAGCUAGUUGGUAAGGUAACGGCUUACCAAGGCAACGAUGCGUAGCCGACCUGAGAGGGUGAUCGGCCACACGGGAACUGAGACACGGUCCAGACUCCUACGGGAGGCAGCAGUAGGGAAUCUUCCGCAAUGGGCGAAAGCCUGACGGAGCAACGCCGCGUGAGUGAUGAAGGUCUUCGGUUCGUAAAACUCUGUUAUUAGGGAAGAACAAAUGUGUAAGUAACUAUGCACGUCUUGACGGUACCUAAUCAGAAAGCCACGGCUAACUACGUG